RNAcentral lists this ribosomal RNA (495 nucleotides) under uncultured bacterium. RNAcentral describes it as "partial 16S ribosomal RNA". It matches the Rfam family "Bacterial small subunit ribosomal RNA", at positions 28 to 507 of the family's 1533-position model. The record is from RNAcentral.
GACGAACGCUGGCGGCGUGCCUAAUACAUGCAAGUAGAACGCUGAAGGAGGAGCUUGCUUCUCUGGAUGAGUUGCGAACGGGUGAGUAACGCGUAGGUAACCUGCCUGGUAGUGGGGGAUAACUAUUGGAAACGAUAGCUAAUACCGCAUAAUAGCAGUUGUUGCAUGAUAACUGUUUGAAAGGUGCAAUUGCACCGCUACCAGAUGGACCUGCGUUGUAUUAGCUAGUUGGUGGGGUAACGGCUCACCAAGGCGACGAUACAUAGCCGACCUGAGAGGGUGAUCGGCCACACUGGGACUGAGACACGGCCCAGACUCCUACGGGAGGCAGCAGUAGGGAAUCUUCGGCAAUGGACGGAAGUCUGACCGAGCAACGCCGCGUGAGUGCAGAAGGUUUUCGGAUCGUAAAGCUCUGUUGUAAGAGAAGAACGAGUGUGAGAGUGGAAAGUUCACACUGUGACGGUAUCUUACCAGAAAGGGACGGCUAACUACGUG